GAUGAAGAACGCAGCGAAAUGCGAUAAGUAGUGUGAAUUGCAGAAUUCAGUGAAUCAUCGAAUCUUUGAACGCACAUUGCGCCCGCCAGUAUUCUGGCGGGCAUGCCUGUUCGAGCGUCAUUACAACCCUCAGGCCCCCGGGCCUGGCGUUGGGGAUCGGCGGAAGCCCCCUGCGGGCACAACGCCGUCCCCCAAAUACAGUGGCGGUCCCGCCGCAGCUUCCAUUGCGUAGUAGCUAACACCUCGCAACUGGAGAGCGGCGCGGCCACGCCGUAAAACACCCAACUUCUGAAUGUUGACCUCGAAUCAGGUAGGAAUACCCGCUGAACUUAAGCAUAUCAAUAAGCAGAGGA
RNAcentral lists this unclassified non-coding RNA (353 nucleotides) under soil metagenome. RNAcentral describes it as "partial contains 5.8S ribosomal RNA, internal transcribed spacer 2, and large subunit ribosomal RNA". The stretch from base 1 to 120 matches the Rfam family "5.8S ribosomal RNA", at positions 35 to 154 of the family's 154-position model. The record is from RNAcentral.